UAUUGCUGGCAUAAUUGCUUGUGUGGACACCGCUGUGUCAGCAAGAGAGCUCCUCCUGCUGACAUAGCUAACGCCGCUCGUUGGGGGUGCUUUAAUUAUGACGGCAGGAGAGCUGUCUCCCGCCAGCAAAGAGCGGCUACAUGGAAGACCUUACAGCGGCAUACCUGUAGUGGCAUAGCUGUACUGCUGUAAGGUCCAUAGUGUAGACAUAGC
This is a long non-coding RNA of Dermochelys coriacea (leatherback sea turtle), 213 nucleotides long. RefSeq lists it as uncharacterized. The record is from RefSeq and is a predicted model, not a curated record. The transcript is spliced from 3 exons. NCBI's taxonomy places the organism in Eukaryota, Metazoa, Chordata, Testudines, Dermochelyidae.